Transfer RNA from Camelus ferus (Wild Bactrian camel), 72 nucleotides. It matches the Rfam family "tRNA". Rfam says of the family: Transfer RNA (tRNA) molecules are approximately 80 nucleotides in length. The record is from Rfam. Lineage: Eukaryota; Metazoa; Chordata; Mammalia; Artiodactyla; Camelidae.
GGAGGUAUAGCUUAAUGGUAGAGGGCGUGCUUGGUAUGCACGAAGUCUUGGGUUCAAUCCCCAGUGCCUCUG